UACGUAGGUGGCGAGCGUUGUCCGGAUUUACUGGGCGUAAAGGGUGCGUAGGCGGACUUUUAAGUGAGAUGUGAAAUACCCGGGCUUAACUUGGGUGCUGCAUUUCAAACUGGAAGUCUAGAGUGCAGGAGAGGAAAGUGGAAUUCCUAGUGUAGCGGUGAAAUGCGUAGAGAUUAGGAAGAACACCAGUGGCGAAGGCGACUUUCUGGACUGUAACUGACGCUGAGGCACGAAAGCAUGGGUAGCAAACAGG
RNAcentral lists this ribosomal RNA (253 nucleotides) under uncultured bacterium. RNAcentral describes it as "partial 16S ribosomal RNA". It matches the Rfam family "Bacterial small subunit ribosomal RNA", at positions 524 to 776 of the family's 1533-position model. The record is from RNAcentral.